RNAcentral lists this ribosomal RNA (757 nucleotides) under Cryptosporidium xiaoi. RNAcentral's name for it is "SSU rRNA". It matches the Rfam family "Eukaryotic small subunit ribosomal RNA", at positions 243 to 1047 of the family's 1831-position model. The record is from RNAcentral. Lineage: Eukaryota; Apicomplexa; Conoidasida; Eucoccidiorida; Cryptosporidiidae.
UUGGUGACUCAUAAUAACUUUACGGAUCACAUUAUGUGACAUAUCAUUCAAGUUUCUGACCUAUCAGCUUUAGACGGUAGGGUAUUGGCCUACCGUGGCUAUGACGGGUAACGGGGAAUUAGGGUUCGAUUCCGGAGAGGGAGCCUGAGAAACGGCUACCACAUCUAAGGAAGGCAGCAGGCGCGCAAAUUACCCAAUCCUAAUACAGGGAGGUAGUGACAAGAAAUAACAAUACAGAACCUUACGGUUUUGUAAUUGGAAUGAGUUAAGUAUAAACCCCUUAACAAGUAUCAAUUGGAGGGCAAGUCUGGUGCCAGCAGCCGCGGUAAUUCCAGCUCCAAUAGCGUAUAUUAAAGUUGUUGCAGUUAAAAAGCUCGUAGUUAAUCUUCUGUUAAUUUUUAUAUAUAAUAUCUCGAUAUUUAUAUAAUAUUAACAUAAUUCAUAUUACUUUUUAGUAUAUGAAACUUUACUUUGAGAAAAUUAGAGUGCUUAAAGCAGGCUAUUGCCUUGAAUACUCCAGCAUGGAAUAAUAUUAAGGAUUUUUAUUCUUCUUAUUGGUUCUAGAAUAAAAAUGAUGAUUAAUAGGAACAGUUGGGGGCAUUUGUAUUUAACAGUCAGAGGUGAAAUUCUUAGAUUUGUUAAAGACAAACUACUGCGAAAGCAUUUGCCAAGGAUGUUUUCAUUAAUCAAGAACGAAAGUUAGGGGAUCGAAGACGAUCAGAUACCGUCGUAGUCUUAACCAUAAACUAUGCCACUA